UCCGUCCCGUCGAAGUCCUCUCACAAACCCUAGCGCUCUCUCUCUCUCUCUCUCUCUCUCCCUCUCUCCCUCUCUCUCUUCACCUGAAUUUCUCAACCAAUUUCCCACACUCACUUACUACCAUAGGGUUCAGAAACUAGGGUUUACUGUCGAUGUUCGAUUCGUUCACAAGACGACGAUGAACACCACCCCCACCUCCACCUCCGUGUGCGGCAACUGCGGCGUGGAGGAGCGCCGCCUCCUCCUCCUCCACCACGUCCGCCACCGCGGCCUCUUCCGCCGCCUCUGCACGUCCUGCGUCCUCCGUCUCCACCCCCAGUCAUUCUGCCCCACCUGCUUCCUCGUCUACUCCCCUCCCCUCCUCCCCCCACCCUCCUCCACCGACGCCGUCUCCUGCCUCAAGUGCGACUCCUUCUCCCACCCCCACUGCGCCGGCGGCCCCAACAGAUCGCCCGCCUCCCCCUACACCUGCCCGCCCUGCGCAAACCCUGGCACCCAGAUCUUCGACACCAGCAAGAGGGAGCUGGACAAGCGGGGGGCCAAGGUGCUCCUCGCCGCCGUCAGAGUCGCCGCGGGGUCGAUGAGCAAGGCAGCCGCUGGGGCGAGGGCGGAGGCCGAGAAGAGGGCCAAGGAGGCUGCUUUCGCGAGGAAGAGGGCGCGGGAGGCAUUGGAGCACGUGGCGUUCCUUGUUGCUAGGGAGAAAGUGAAGCGGAAGGAGUCGGUGGCAGCAGCGUCUGCUGAGGUUUCGGUUGCCAAGGAAAGGAAUCAUAAAGCUGCUCCCAUCAUGGAGCUGAACCGUGUUGGUAAUCAGCGUGCCGUAGAAGGAGUGGAUGGUCCUAAUGAGGUUUCGGCACGCUUGAAUGCCGUAGGCUUGAGAGAGAAGGAGAGAUUGCAAGGAUUUGGGGGACUGAGUGCGGUAUCGGGAAUACAGAAUAAUGGUGCUGGAAUGGCUGUUGAGAAUAAUGAAAGACCGAGAGUGAGUCCUGCUUCUAAUGUGGCAGCCCCAUUCACUCAGAAUAAUGUAAACGAGAGGUCUGAUAACUUAGGUCACUUAGAGAACACUAAUGCACAGGGGGAGAAAGUGAGCAAUGGGUUGUACUCAGUUCUUCCUGUAGGUGAUCAAAUGAAGCAUGUGCAAAGCAACCAUGGCAGGGAAGAGAAAAUGGGCUCUCAACAAUAAUCUGUGAUGAAUUGGGAACUAUGGCUAGAUGAUAAGAUCAAGGUCUAGAAGGUUUCUAAGAUACAUUCUCGGGUAGCUCUCUUGGGCUUUUGGACAGAAUGAGAUAGCUUAUGUUCGCAACAAAUUUUCAAGUUAUUAAGAACUUAAAGAGGCAAUGAGGACUCUACCUUUCCAUCUAUUUGCUGCCCAUUACUUUAUUAAAGAAAAUUCGCAGGCUAAGAUUAAUGUGCUGUUGGAACUUAGGGAAAGUGAGGGAAAAGAAAGGAAUGUUAAAAAGAUUUCUUUACCAUUGUUUGGUUAUAAGAGAAAGAGAAGCAGUGUUCUAAAUGGCUGCCGCUGAAAUGGCGGCCUCAGCGGCAGGUCGGCGCCAUGAUUUCACCCUCGACGGCUCAUUCGGUGGAUUUAGAGAUUUGGCAGAGCUUGGCGGCUAGGCAACUAAGAGAGAUUUGGUGGAGCUAGGCGGUGUCUUGGCGGGGCUUGGCGGAGCUAGGCGGCCAUCUUGGCGGGCUUGGCGGAGCUUAAUUGCCUUAAAAAUAUUUAAAAUAUUUUUUUUUGAAAAAAAACGCCGAAUCGCUCGGCAGCGGGUCGCCGCCCGACUAGUGCCGAGCGCCAUUUAGAACACUGAAGAGACGAGAAAACAACAAAUUCAAGAAAGGAAA
RNA transcript from Rhododendron vialii, 1839 nucleotides. RefSeq lists it as uncharacterized. NCBI's taxonomy places the organism in Eukaryota, Viridiplantae, Streptophyta, Magnoliopsida, Ericales, Ericaceae. The record is from RefSeq and is a predicted model, not a curated record. The transcript has 4 exons.